Molecule: ribosomal RNA, 253 nt
Filed under: uncultured bacterium
Lineage: Bacteria
Description: partial 16S ribosomal RNA
Rfam family: Bacterial small subunit ribosomal RNA
Source: RNAcentral
UACGUAGGUGGCAAGCGUUGUCCGGAAUUACUGGGUGUAAAGGGAGCGCAGGCGGGAAGCCAAGUCAGCUGUGAAAACUACGGGCUUAACUUGUAGACUGCAGUUGAAACCGGUUUUCUUGAGUGAAGUAGAGGUUGGCGGAAUUCCGAGUGUAGCGGUGAAAUGCGUAGAUAUUCGGAGGAACACCGGUGGCGAAGGCGGCCAACUGGGCUUUAACUGACGCUGAGGCUCGAAAGUGUGGGGAGCAAACAGG